UACAGAGGUCCCAAGCGUUGUUCGGAUUCAUUGGGCGUAAAGGGUGCGUAGGCGGCGCGGUAAGUCGGGUGUGAAAUCUCGGAGCUUAACUCCGAAACUGCAUUCGAUACUGCCGUGCUUGAGGACUGGAGAGGAGACUGGAAUUUACGGUGUAGCGGUGAAAUGCGUAGAUAUCGUAAGGAAGACCAGUGGCGAAGGCGGGUCUCUGGACAGUUCCUGACGCUGAGGCGCGAAAGCCAGGGGAGCGAACGGG
This 253-nucleotide ribosomal RNA is filed under the name uncultured bacterium. Its description in RNAcentral is "partial 16S ribosomal RNA". It matches the Rfam family "Bacterial small subunit ribosomal RNA", at positions 524 to 776 of the family's 1533-position model. The record is from RNAcentral.